This 855-nucleotide ribosomal RNA is filed under the name Bipolaris zeicola. RNAcentral's name for it is "eukaryotic LSU rRNA". It matches the Rfam family "Eukaryotic large subunit ribosomal RNA", at positions 66 to 939 of the family's 3401-position model. Lineage: Eukaryota; Fungi; Ascomycota; Dothideomycetes; Pleosporales; Pleosporaceae. The record is from RNAcentral.
CAACAGGGAUUGCCCUAGUAACGGCGAGUGAAGCGGCAACAGCUCAAAUUUGAAAUCUGGCUCUUUCAGAGUCCGAGUUGUAAUUUGCAGAGGGCGCUUUGGCUUUGGCAGCGGUCCAAGUUCCUUGGAACAGGACGUCACAGAGGGUGAGAAUCCCGUACGUGGUCGCUAGCUAUUGCCGUGUAAAGCCCCUUCGACGAGUCGAGUUGUUUGGGAAUGCAGCUCUAAAUGGGAGGUAAAUUUCUUCUAAAGCUAAAUAUUGGCCAGAGACCGAUAGCGCACAAGUAGAGUGAUCGAAAGAUGAAAAGCACUUUGGAAAGAGAGUCAAACAGCACGUGAAAUUGUUGAAAGGGAAGCGCUUGCAGCCAGACUUGCUUGCAGUUGCUCAUCCGGGCUUUUGCCCGGUGCACUCUUCUGUAGGCAGGCCAGCAUCAGUUUGGGCGGUGGGAUAAAGGUCUCUGUCACGUACCUCUCUUCGGGGAGGCCUUAUAGGGGAGACGACAUACCACCAGCCUAGACUGAGGUCCGCGCAUCUGCUAGGAUGCUGGCGUAAUGGCUGUAAGCGGCCCGUCUUGAAACACGGACCAAGGAGUCUAACAUCUAUGCGAGUGUUUGGGUGUCAAGCCCGAGCGCGUAAUGAAAGUGAACGGAGGUGGGAACCCGCAAGGGUGCACCAUCGACCGAUCCUGAAGUUUACGGAAGGAUUUGAGUAAGAGCAUGGCUGUUGGGACCCGAAAGAUGGUGAACUAUGCUUGAAUAGGGUGAAGCCAGAGGAAACUCUGGUGGAGGCUCGCAGCGGUUCUGACGUGCAAAUCGAUCGUCAAAUUUGGGCAUAGGGGCGAAAGACUAAUCGAA